AGGCUUCAGUAGCACAUGUACUAAAAUUUGAAGGAUAUGGAGAAGUUUAGGGCAGGCCCUGUGAAAGGAUGACACCCACAUGCUUUCAUCCAUUUUAUU
This 99-nucleotide small nuclear RNA is filed under the name Chinchilla lanigera (long-tailed chinchilla). Lineage: Eukaryota; Metazoa; Chordata; Mammalia; Rodentia; Chinchillidae. The record is from RNAcentral.